This 449-nucleotide ribosomal RNA is filed under the name Debaryomyces hansenii. Its description in RNAcentral is "eukaryotic LSU rRNA". It matches the Rfam family "Eukaryotic large subunit ribosomal RNA", at positions 162 to 628 of the family's 3401-position model. Lineage: Eukaryota; Fungi; Ascomycota; Pichiomycetes; Serinales; Debaryomycetaceae. The record is from RNAcentral.
CUUUGGAGUUGGCUCUUGUCUAUGUUCCUUGGAACAGGACGUCACAGAGGGUGAGAAUCCCGUGCGAUGAGAUGCCCAAUUCCAUGUAAAGUGCUUUCGAAGAGUCGAGUUGUUUGGGAAUGCAGCUCUAAGUGGGUGGUAAAUUCCAUCUAAAGCUAAAUAUUGGCGAGAGACCGAUAGCGAACAAGUACAGUGAUGGAAAGAUGAAAAGAACUUUGAAAAGAGAGUGAAAAAGUACGUGAAAUUGUUGAAAGGGAAGGGCUUGAGAUCAGACUUGGUAUUUUGCGAUCCUUUCCUUUUUGGUUGGGUUCUCCGCAGCUUACUGGGCCAGCAUCGGUUUGGACGGUAGGAUAAUGAUUAAGGAAUGUGGCUCUACUUCGGUGGAGUGUUAUAGCCUUGGUUGAUGCUGCCUGUCUAGACCGAGGACUGCGUCUUUGACUAGGAUGUUG